Molecule: ribosomal RNA, 500 nt
Filed under: Mannheimia haemolytica
Lineage: Bacteria; Pseudomonadati; Pseudomonadota; Gammaproteobacteria; Pasteurellales; Pasteurellaceae
Description: bacterial SSU rRNA
Rfam family: Bacterial small subunit ribosomal RNA
Source: RNAcentral
GCUGGCGGCAGGCUUAACACAUGCAAGUCGAACGGUAGCACAUAGGAGCUUGCUCCUUGGGUGACGAGUGGCGGACGGGUGAGUAAUGCUUGGGAAUCUGGCUUAUGGAGGGGGAUAACUACUGGAAACGGUAGCUAAUACCGCGUAAUGUCUACGGACUAAAGGGUGGGACCAUUUGGCCACCUGCCAUAAGAUGAGCCCAAGUGGGAUUAGGUAGUUGGUGAGGUAAAGGCUCACCAAGCCCGCGAUCUCUAGCUGGUCUGAGAGGAUGACCAGCCACACUGGAACUGAGACACGGUCCAGACUCCUACGGGAGGCAGCAGUGGGGAAUAUUGCACAAUGGGGGGAACCCUGAUGCAGCCAUGCCGCGUGAAUGAAGAAGGCCUUCGGGUUGUAAAGUUCUUUCGGUGACGAGGAAGGCGAUUGUUUUAAUAGAACAAUCGAUUGACGUUAAUCACAGAAGAAGCACCGGCUAACUCCGUGCCAGCCGCCGCGGUAAU